Molecule: ribosomal RNA, 783 nt
Filed under: Triticum aestivum (bread wheat)
Lineage: Eukaryota; Viridiplantae; Streptophyta; Magnoliopsida; Poales; Poaceae
Description: partial small subunit ribosomal RNA
Source: RNAcentral
AUGGGCCGUGGUUGCCGUGCCCUUACCACCUUCGUGCAGCCCGCCUGCCAGAAGUUAGAUCACGCGGAGCCGAUUGUCUCGCGCCACGGCCUCCUACUUGUGCGCCUUCCCUCUCAUGACACGAGGGUCGUCCACCUGGCGGUGUGCGAUCUGCUCGUCGGCGAGUGCCACGUGCUCCCACUUCUAAAGUGCGGCCAUGUCGACCCCCUCCACAUGGACUGGAGUGGGUACGCUAUUUUGAGUGGUGUGGAUAGCUGCUCGCACAACGAGCAGCCACCACCGAGCAACUAUGCGUCCUCCUUCAAAGUGGUAAUCAUCGACUCCGAUUACAAUCUCUACACGUUCUCAUCCCAUAAAGGGAGCUGGAGCACGGCGACCAGGUGCUUCGGUGAUGAGGCUACCAGAAACUAUACCGCGGUUUAUCAUGGCCCUGCCGUCGUGUGCCACGGCACGGCACACUGGCUCUUUUACGAUGGGAUGAUGCUAGACUUAUGCAUUGUUGGUAUGGAAGCUAAGACGGGCCACGUCACCUUGACAAGGAUCCCAUUUGAGCAUGAGAUGUCGCCCGUGCCUUACCCUCUCCACCGAUGGGACACUUUCGCUAAUCUAUAUCGACAGGGAAGGGCCCCAGGUAGUGAUCUGGGAAAUUGUGGACGAGACUACAAAUUGCCUCUGCACUCGGAGUAUCGAGUUAAAAGAACCAGGCAAGAAGCUUACUCAAAGCAUAUCAAGCUUGCACAUGUUAGGAGAAAAGUACGGGACGAUGAUUGCCGGGGGCAGUAG